GACGUAGGGCGCGAGCGUUGUCCGGAUUUAUUGGGCGUAAAGAGCUUGUAGGCGGUUUGUCGCGUCUGCUGUGAAAUUUCGGGGCUCAACCCCCGAACUUGCAGUGGGUACGGGCAGACUAGAGUGUGGUAGGGGGAGACUGGAAUUCCUGGUGUAGCGGUGAAAUGCGCAGAUAUCAGGAGGAACACCGAUGGCGAAGGCAGGUCUCUGGGCCACUACUGACGCUGGAGAAGCGGAAAGCAUGGGGGACGC
RNAcentral lists this ribosomal RNA (252 nucleotides) under uncultured bacterium. RNAcentral's name for it is "partial 16S ribosomal RNA". It matches the Rfam family "Bacterial small subunit ribosomal RNA", at positions 524 to 771 of the family's 1533-position model. The record is from RNAcentral.